RNAcentral lists this ribosomal RNA (320 nucleotides) under uncultured bacterium. Its description in RNAcentral is "bacterial SSU rRNA". It matches the Rfam family "Bacterial small subunit ribosomal RNA", at positions 470 to 789 of the family's 1533-position model. The record is from RNAcentral.
UGACGGUAACUUACCAGAAAGGGACGGCUAACUACGUGCCAGCAGCCGCGGUAAUACGUAGGUGGCAAGCGUUAUCCGGAUUUAUUGGGCGUAAAGGGAACGCAGGCGGUUUUUUAAGUCUGAUGUGAAAGCCUUCGGCUUAACCGGAGAAUAGCAUUGGAAACUGGAAGACUUGAGUGCAGAAGAGGAGAGUGGAACUCCAUGUGUAGCGGUGAAAUGCGUAGAUAUAUGGAAGAACACCAGUGGCGAAAGCGGCUCUCUGGUCUGUAACUGACGCUGAGGUUCGAAAGCGUGGGUAGCAAACAGGAUUAGAUACCCUG